AAAUUGAAGAGUUUGAUCAUGGCUCAGAUUGAACGCUGGCGGCAGGCCUAACACAUGCAAGUCGAACGGUAACAGGAAGCAGCUUGCUGCUUCGCUGACGAGUGGCGGACGGGUGAGUAAUGUCUGGGAAGCUGCCUGAUGGAGGGGGAUAACUACUGGAAACGGUAGCUAAUACCGCAUAACGUCGAAAGACCAAAGAGGGGGACCUUCGGGCCUCUUGCCAUCGGAUGUGCCCAGAUGGGAUUAGCUUGUUGGUGGGGUAA
This 263-nucleotide ribosomal RNA is filed under the name Escherichia coli. Its description in RNAcentral is "partial 16S ribosomal RNA". It matches the Rfam family "Bacterial small subunit ribosomal RNA", at positions 1 to 260 of the family's 1533-position model. Lineage: Bacteria; Pseudomonadati; Pseudomonadota; Gammaproteobacteria; Enterobacterales; Enterobacteriaceae. The record is from RNAcentral.